Molecule: ribosomal RNA, 305 nt
Filed under: uncultured bacterium
Lineage: Bacteria
Description: bacterial SSU rRNA
Rfam family: Bacterial small subunit ribosomal RNA
Source: RNAcentral
CCGCACCUACGGGGGGCAGCAGUGAGGAAUAUUGGUCAAUGGGCGAGAGCCUGAACCAGCCACGUCGCGUGAGGGAGUACUGCCCUAUGGGUUGUAAACCUCUUUUGUCGGGGAGCAAAAGCCGGACGUGUCCGUCUGUGAGAGUACCCGAAGAAAAAGCAUCGGCUAACUCCGUGCCAGCAGCCGCGGUAAUACGGAGGAUGCGAGCGUUAUCCGGAUUUAUUGGGUUUAAAGGGUGCGUAGGCGGAAUGCCAAGUCAGCGGUAAAAUCGCGGGGCUCAACCUCGCUCCGCCGUUGAAACUGGG